GCAGAGGGGAGGAAAGGAAAAAGGAAGGAGGUUGCUGCUCGAUCUCCUGGGACUGCUACCCGCUUGCCCCCUCAAUCUGUCUGCCACGCCCACCAAGCCCCACGCAACCCAGCAGAAGUCGUUCCUAACAGCCACUGGACCCCUCCCCCCUCUGCGUCUCCACCCGCCGGACAGAAAAAAGCGAGGGCACAGAAGGCGGUGCCCUGCUUUGCAUUUUCAUAUGGUCAACACCAUGCCUCCCUGGGAAGCGGCUCCAGGAAGUUUCGGGGCUCCUGCUAUUGGCAGCGAGCAGGCUAUCGUCGCCGGCGCCCCGCCAUUGCUCUCUGCUCCCUGCAUAACCUUGAGAGCAGCAGCUGAAGGGCCGGGGGCAGAGAGCCCAAGCUGGGCUUUCAGGACUAUGAUGCUGCUUGCAAACCAUGGAUGUCUCUUCUGGGAACUGUGUCAACUCCUUAGCCUCCAGAUUGGUUUUUUUGCUGCUCAUCCAUCACUGAAGAUAUUCCAGGAGCCAUCAAACUUCUGUCAAGUUGCUCCCUCUCCUCCUCUUCCAUGUCCAUUUUUUCCUCCUCCCGUGCCACACCCUCUGCCAUUCUCUGCGCAUCUGAGGCUCUACCAGGUCUGCUUGGAGAGAUCACCAGUUUGGAAGAGUGGGAUGGAUUUGAGGAACUUUUUAAUAUUAAAGGAUGUAUCCUUCCAUCCAUAAACACUCUAUGAGCUGCAAUUUUGUAAGAGGCAAGGCGUAUUUGCAUUCUCAACAUCAUUGGAAUUGUUGGAUAGGCAAAUGUUAAAUGCAGUCUGUACUCUCUACAGCUGUUAGCCAAUCUAUCAGCUUUUAUAAGAUCAAUGUGUUGUAUCUCAGUUCUUAAAAGUUGACUCAGGGAAUAAAGAAUGUCACAUUUAUUUCCCCAUUGGCCCCUACUUAUGUGAUUGUAAGAGAUGUACAACACCAGCUCAUUUGUUUGGAGUUGAAGAGAAGGAUUUGAAUUUCUUUUUUUUGUGUCCCAUCUACUUCUUGUUGGCAAAAUAAUAAUGUCUGGUCCUUUAAAUUGUUUGGCUGAGAGAGAGGCUUGUAAACUUUGGGAGUUUCACUUGUAUGAGGAUAACUGCUUGUUUUUUCAUUGAAGACCUUGAUCAUGUUGCCAAAUAUAUCAAGCUUACUGAAGAUAUCAUUUCGUUUUUGAAAAAUAGCUAUUAGUGUCUUCCCUGUUCCCCAAUGACUUUUAUUAAAGAGUCUUUUUGUAAUUGCCAAUGCAUUUCAAGUUCCUUUACACCCAAUAAUAAAUGUGCUUUAUGGGAA
Long non-coding RNA from Heteronotia binoei (common prickly gecko), 1294 nucleotides. RefSeq lists it as uncharacterized. The transcript has 2 exons. The record is from RefSeq and is a predicted model, not a curated record. Lineage: Eukaryota; Metazoa; Chordata; Lepidosauria; Squamata; Gekkonidae.